GCCCCCGUACCCCAACGGCAGAGGGAGCGGAUUCAAAACCCGCACAGUGUGCGUUCGAGUCGCACCGGGGGCA
RNAcentral lists this transfer RNA (73 nucleotides) under Geodermatophilus sp. SYSU D00758. RNAcentral describes it as "tRNA-Leu". It matches the Rfam family "tRNA". Rfam says of the family: Transfer RNA (tRNA) molecules are approximately 80 nucleotides in length. Lineage: Bacteria; Bacillati; Actinomycetota; Actinomycetes; Geodermatophilales; Geodermatophilaceae. The record is from RNAcentral.